UCUCCUGAACCUUGGAAAGUCAGGGCUAAAAUUUGAACCUGGAUCCUUUUGGCUUUAUUUAUUUAUUUUAUGUAUAUGAAUAGACUGUCAUUGACACACCAGAAGAAAGCAUUGGAUCCCAUUACAGAUGGUUGUGACCCACCAGGUGGUUGCUGGGAAUUGAACUCAAGACCCCUGGAAGAGCAGGCAGUGGUCUUAUAUGUUGUGCCAUCUCUCCAGUCCAACCUGGAUCCUUUAAACCCAGGAUCCAAGUUCUUUUUGCUGAGACUGUAAGCUUUGUAGAAGCAAGCCAAUUUCACAGCACCUUGGAACCCUUGAUCAAGAAAGAAGACGGCCUCUCCCAUCCGAAGCAUCACAGAAGGACCAGGUGGAAUAGCCAUUUUCAUAGACCAAAAUGGUAGAAUAUUAGCCACUAUUAAGGCUCACCAGAGUCAAGGCUGGCUGAAUUAAAUCCUGCCUCCCUCAUGACCCAGAAAGAUUUCAAGAGGCUCUUGAAAUGACCGCAACAGAGAUUAGAUACUGAGUCAGUCAUGUAUUUCCUCCUGGGCAACCAGAAAAGCCACAACUUGCAGUUAGUGUAAGGUCAUAAGCCUGGGUAUUAAACAAAGAGAUAUUAAGCAAAAGGGAUGGAUACUGCUUUCAGGAUUGCCCACCAACUCAUGGGCAUGAUUGUUAUGGCAACCCUAGAGCCCAUAUGUUGUAAAAGGUAACCUUAUAAGCUGGAAGAGCCUAGAUGAUGUGUCGUCUUCUAACCUGUGAUAGAGUGAAUGUGAGUGAGAACAUACAUGUAUUGUGUUUAUCUCUCAGUACUUGGAGAAUGUUUGUUAUAGAGGCUAGCAUGAUCUAUCCUGACUAAUACAGAAUGAGAAUGCUGUCAAUUGCACAUAACAGAAAAGGGAAGAAGUACAUUAUAAACACUUACGUGACUAUUGUUAUGUGGAAACAUAACAAGGAGUUCAGGAAUAAGAAGCUCCACUACCCAAUUUGAAGGACACAGUCUGUCUUUCUGUUCAGUUUUCCUUAGGGUAUUGGCUCUCAUUCUCACACCAGUCAACACAUCCAGAGUGGUUAUUAAAUGCCUGGCACUUCAUCUGCAACUCAGGUAGGAAAAAAGCAAAGGACGGGGCAAAAGGAUAAGAGCCAUUGAGUCUUCCCCACUCAGCCAACUCUAAGGUUUCACUAACCAGGCCAGCAAAAAUGCCAGUGACUGACUGACUAGUGCAGACAAUACAGGGCUCUGCCUUCCCAAUGCGUUCACAAUUGGUCUCCUGGUUCCGUGGGACUAGCUUACCUAAGACCGACAAAUCUCUACAGGCUCCUGAGCAAAAGAUGAGCGUCAUAGCUACUAUGUGGUCAACAUUAGCCCUCCUCUGCACCUAACACCUCAUGGCUGCCCCCUUACUAAGAAGGGCUUCACUUAAGCUCAGCUGAUCUUUGUCUUUUCAGUCUUUUGCCCUCAGCUCCAUCCACCUCAGAGCAUCAUUUCCUCAGCUGCCCAGAGGCCUGGCUCCCAUGCAGAGGAUUGCUAACAGGGUGAUGAUCCUGAGUAGCCUGAGACAGCACAAUGAGAGGUGGCACUAUGCCAGGACCCACUAUCAUCACAACGCUCCUUUGUUAGUGAGGAUACUGCUGACAGCCUCCAGUAGAUCAUUGGAAAUCAGCUGAGAUGGGUAAAAAUUAGUCUGCUUGAUGCUUGUGAGGGUAGGGAAGAGGCUCGAUGGGAAAGAAGAUGGUGAAAAGCAAGCUGAAAGGAGGCCUUGGAGGGAAACAAUUUGAGUACUAACAAAGCUUUAUACGCUGAGAUACUCCUGGAAAAAAAACAAACAAACAAACAGAUAAAUCAGCAUCGUUGGCCUAGAGAUGACCUUGGAACUGCCUGGCUUCCGUGCUGCUCGACACAAGAGAUGCUGAGUCAGGGAUGACUCCAAACCUCCCACAGAAGUGAUGAAACAUCUGCUUGUGACUCUGGCUCCAAAUGUGGCCAUGGACUGAGGCCUGUGGCUAUGGAAACUGGAAACUCACUCUACCACCUGCCCAGUGUCCUCGGUGUCUCAGUUUCUUUAUCCAUAACGUAGACCUAAAGCAGGACCUUCCUCCCAGGGAACUCUGGGAGUGUGAAAGCAAGCCUUGUCUGCUGAUGAAGGCCACAGCCCCGGGUGUUAGGCAUAAGCAAUAUGAAAAGUCAGGUGUUCUACGCAAUGGUCGCUUUCUUUUCUGUCAGUUCUCUCCACCUUGCUCUGUCCAGGUGCCUGAGUUCACUGGGGUUACACUCUAUAGACACCAGCCUGUUCUAAGCAGUCAGCAGAUGUUUAACCUGCCCCCAGCACAGUCCCUGCCUUCAGUAACUCAGGCCCUGGAGGAUGGGCUGGCCCUGUGACUCGCUUCUUAUGAAUAGAACACAUGUGUUAUAAAAGUGAUGCCUUAGGUUAUAAAAA
Rattus norvegicus (Norway rat) is the source of this 2435-nucleotide non-coding RNA. Lineage: Eukaryota; Metazoa; Chordata; Mammalia; Rodentia; Muridae. The record is from RefSeq and is a predicted model, not a curated record.